Brienomyrus brachyistius is the source of this 1324-nucleotide long non-coding RNA. RefSeq lists it as uncharacterized. The record is from RefSeq and is a predicted model, not a curated record. NCBI's taxonomy places the organism in Eukaryota, Metazoa, Chordata, Actinopteri, Osteoglossiformes, Mormyridae. The transcript is spliced from 8 exons.
AUCACAGGCAGAGGUUUAGCCCGCUGAGCCUCAUACCGUUAUCGAAUAGUCUAAUUUACGCAUCCAGACAUAUAGAUAUUUAAACAAUGAAUAUAAGUGAUCACGUUAAUCGUGUGUAAAUAAUUGGAGGAAAACACACAGCUGCUAUUUUUAAGUUAUUGGGUCUGAUUGCAGAUACAACUUCGUCAGGCGAGAGCAACUGCAAAGUCAAACGUAUCGGUUCCGCAGAGACUAUGAGUGCAGUUUCGUAGGCGAAAGACGGCAGCGAUGGUGGAAGUCAAGUGCAGCAGAGGGGAAAGAAGAAGACUGCCAAGUACAUCCUGACACGGAGAACACGGACUUAUCCCUUAAUGAAAGGAUCGCGGCUUAAGCGUGUGGAGUUUUGUGUUCACAAAAACAUCCUUCAAUUUAAUAGAAGAUGGAAGCAGAAUCUGAACUGAACUUCACAGAAUUCUGAAGAAGAGGAAGGCAUCUUCAGACAACUAUAUUUCAGAUGGCUCCUUGAUUAGGAAUCCCAUGGAAUCAUAUAUGGUGACGGUCCCACAGAAUGGCUCAGCCUUGAAAAACUGCCCUGGGCAAAACUACCUACACCAGGAUGAGGGGAAUGGCCAAAAGUAAAGGCACAAUAGGAGGAGAAUUUUACCCACUGGUGGCAAGAAUUUAGGUGUCUGAUACUUGGCAGGUAUCCAGUCACAGAAGCAGGAACCUUCUCUGUGUUGCUGAAAAUGAGCCAACACAAUUUGUCUUGUUGUGAUGAAGUCUCCGCAGACUACAGCUGACAAAUGAGAGCCGUGGUUUCAUUUCAGACAGAUGUUUCUGGAUUCUUAAACACAGUUGCCUCUGAGAACAAAAGCCGCCCUGCUUGGAACGAGCCCAGUCUUUUUUUCUUUGGACAGGCAAAUCCCGUAAUGUCCUAACACCCUCUGGCAGGCGUCCUGAAGUAUUUGGUGGCUAAUAAGUUGCUGUAUUUCUUUCUAUAUUUUGAGGAACAGUGAGGCUGUAAUUUAAAUGAUUGCUAGUUUCAAACAUUGUUAUAUUCAUCGAAUCCAUUCGUUAGAAAAAAAUCUUCAUAAAGACAAAGCUGGUUCCUCAAGUAGAUUAUAACUGUUGAAGUCCUGGAACAGGAGGCCUGUGCUUAUUGCAUGUUGUCAUUCUGAAGCAGUUUCAAGUCAAGGUUAAAUUAGUGCGACAUUAAACUAGAUCCCAGCUGAAUGGUCUGUGUGUAUGACAAUUACACAGUUCUCCAUAGACAUUGUUGAUAGUUUUAUGAACGUUACCUCUGCGUUUGUGUGUUUAUAAUGUACUGUAUUUGUGUUUGUGUGUG